Molecule: RNA transcript, 3741 nt
Organism: Sorex fumeus (smoky shrew)
Lineage: Eukaryota; Metazoa; Chordata; Mammalia; Eulipotyphla; Soricidae
Gene name: F-actin-monooxygenase MICAL2-like
Exons: 26
Source: RefSeq, a predicted model, not a curated record
GAACAUGGCAACCGGUGUGGGGCUCAUCCUGGAAGGAGGGGACUUUGGCCAUUGUGAUGCCUAAGGAUCAAGUGCUGCCUCUCUCUGGGCACUUCAUGCGGUUCCCCUUCAUCGUGUCCAUAGCUCUGCUGCACGUGGCUCUGGCAACAUGGGGGAAAAUGAAGAUGAGAGGCUGGCCCAGGCAGGUCAGGUGUUUGAGAACUUCGUGCAGGCUUCCACCUGCAAGGGCACCCUCCAGGCUUUCAACAUCCUCACCCGGCUCCUGGACCUCGACCCUCAGGACCACAGAAACUUCUAUUCCAAGCUCAAGUCCAAAGUGACCACGUGGAAGGCCAAGGCUCUCUGGCACAAGUUGGACAAGCGUGGCGCCCACAAAGAGUAUAAGCGGGGGAAGUCAUGUAUGAACACCAAGUGUCUCAUCAUAGGAGGAGGACCCUGUGGCUUACGUUCCGCCAUUGAACUUGCCUACUUGGGAGCCAAAGUGGUCGUGGUGGAGAAGCGGGACACCUUUUCCCGGAACAACGUGCUGCACCUCUGGCCUUUCACCAUCCAUGACCUGCGGGGCCUGGGAGCCAAGAAGUUCUAUGGAAAAUUCUGUGCUGGCUCCAUUGACCACAUCAGUAUUCGUCAGCUGCAGCUCAUUCUAUUCAAGGUGGCCCUGAUGCUGGGAGUUGAAAUCCACGUGAAUGUAGAAUUUGUGAAGGUUGUUGAGCCUCCUGAGGAUCAAGAAAAUCGAAAAAUUGGUUGGCGGGCAGAAUUUCUCCCUGCAGACCACCCUCUGUCGGAGUUUGAGUUUGAUGUCAUCAUUGGCGCUGAUGGCCGCAGGAAUACUCUGGAAGGGUUCAGAAGAAAAGAAUUCCGUGGGAAGCUGGCUAUUGCGAUCACCGCCAACUUCAUAAACAGGAACAGCACCGCUGAGGCAAAGGUGGAAGAGAUUAGUGGUGUGGCUUUCAUCUUCAAUCAGAAAUUUUUUCAGGAUCUUCGAGAAGAAACAGGGAUUGAUCUGGAGAACAUUGUUUAUUACAAAGACUAUACCCACUAUUUUGUUAUGACAGCCAAGAAGCAGAGUCUGCUGGACAAAGGUGUCAUCAUUAACGACUACAUCGACACGGAGCGGCUGCUUUGCGCAGAGAAUGUGAACCAGGAGAACCUGCUUUCCUAUGCCCGAGAGGCUGCUGACUUCGCCACCAACUACCAGCUGCCAUCGCUGGAUUUUGCCAUAAACCAUUAUGGGCAGCCGGACGCGGCCAUGUUUGACUUCACCUCCAUGUACGCCUCCGAGAACGCGGCCUUGGUGCGGGAGCGCCAGUCACACCAGCUGCUGGUGGCCCUGGUCGGCGACAGUUUGCUUGAGCCGUUUUGGCCUAUGGGCACAGGCUGUGCCCGAGGCUUCCUGGCAGCAUUUGACACGGCCUGGAUGGUGAGGAGCUGGAACCAGGGCACUCCUCCCCUGGAGCUGCUGGCUGAAAGAGAAAGUCUUUACCGACUAUUACCUCAAACGACCCCAGAGAACAUCAACAAGAACUUUGAGCAGUACACGCUGGACCCAGGGACACGGUACCCGAACCUCAACUCCAACUGUGUCAGGCCCCAUCAGGUACAGCACCUAUACAUCACUAAGGAGCUGCAUCACUUCCCUCUGGAGAGAGUGGCCUCCAUGAGACGAUCCGUUGGCCUCUCCCGGCGGGAGUCAGACAUCCGGCCCAACAAACUCCUUACCUGGUGCCAGCAGCAGGCCGAGGGCUACCAGAAUGUCCGCAUCACCGACUUGACCACGUCCUGGCGUAGUGGCCUGGCUCUGUGUGCCAUCAUCCACCGCUUCCGGCCCGAGCUGAUAAAUUUUGACUCUUUGAGAGAGGAAGAUGCUGUGGAGAACAACCAACUGGCGUUUGAUGUGGCCGAGCGUGAGUUUGGUAUCCCCCCGGUGACAACCGGGAAAGAGAUGGCAUCCUCCCAAGAGCCCGACAAGCUCAGCAUGGUCCUGUACCUCUCCAAGUUCUACGAACUCUUCCGGGGCACCCCGCUGAGGCCUAUGGAUUCUUGGAGCAAAAACUACCAAGAAAAUGCUGACCUUGAGGCUGCCAAAUCAUCCAUUACCCACAAUUAUCUCAAUCUCACGAUUCCCAGGAAAAGGACUCCGCGAGUGGACAACCAGACCCAAGAGAAUGACAUGAACAAGAGGAGGCGGAAGGGCGUUAACAACCUGGAUGAGCCUUCAGCCUUUUCCAGAAGGAGUUUGAACUCUGAUCCAGAAAGCAGCAGCAGUAAAGAAGGUGGAAAUCAGAACAAAGUCAAGUCCAUGGCCACCCAGCUGCAGGCCAAGUUCGAGGAGAAUUCUCGGGGCUCAUCCCUGCUGAGGCAGGAGCAUCAUGGCUCAGGGAUAGGUAAGCCCAUCGUGCGCUCCUCCUCCGACCCGCCUACCUAUGGGCACGGCCCCCCUCCAGAGGAGCCCACACCCAGCCCAUCAGCUCCUCUGAAAAGGCAGCUCUUCCCGGAAGUUGUGACUGGGCAAGUGCUCCAGGAACUAAAGCAAAUAGCCGCUGGUGGUGAGGCCAAGAGCAGGCCCUGGAGAGCCAGAGCUAAGUCUGACCUACAGCUGGGGGUGGCCCACCAUCCUGCCGCCCUGCCUGCCACCUGUCCCGGAGUGCUGGCCCUCUCUGGGGUGCUGCGGCGGCUACAGCAGGUGGAGGAAAAGAUUGUACAGAAGAGGGCUCAGAGCUUGGCCAACAGGGAAUUUCACACAAAGAACAUAAAGGAGAAGGCAGCUCACCUGGCCUCCAUGUUUGGACAUGGGGAUAUCCCUCAGAAUAAGCUUCUCUCUAAAGGCCUGUCUCCUCCUCUUCCUCCAUCCUCUCCCUCCAACUCCUGCCUCCCAUCUCCUGACCCAGCUGCAACUUCCUCUCCAGCAACUGCUGACUCUGUUUCUCCUGCCAAAAAGCUGACGGUAGGGAAAGUAUCCAGCGGGAUAGGGGCUGCGGCGGAAGUGCUGGUCAAUUUAUACAUGAAUGAUCACAGACCUAAGACCCAGGCCGCCUCUCCAGACUUGGAUUCUAUGCGAAAGUCGUUUCCCACCAACCUGGGUGGCAGCGACACCUGCUACUUCUGCAAGAAGCGCGUGUACGUGAUGGAGCGGCUGAGUGCGGAGGGUCACUUCUUCCACCGGGAGUGUUUCCGCUGCGACAUCUGUGCCACGUCCCUGCGUCUGCCCUCCUACGCCUUUGACAGCGACGAAGGCAAAUUUUACUGCAAACCUCAUUUCAUUCACUGUAAAACCAACUGUAAGCAACGGAAGAGACGGGCAGAGUUGAAGCAACAAAUGGAGGAGCAGCGGACGUGGGCGGAGCAGGACACGCCGCGGCGGGACCCGCCUCCGGAAAGCUCCUGCGCAGUGGCCGCCAUCGCCACCCCCGAAGGCAGCCCCCCAGUUCAUUUCAGCCUUCCAGUGCUACACCCACUUCUUGGCUGAUGCACUUCUGCUCUGAGGUGAUUGGAUCUCUUGCUGAUUUUCAGAGAGUGACUCUCCCUCCCUUUCUAGAAUGUCAACCAAAGAGUGCCCUCCUCCCCUCCCAGUCUCCUCCUUAGCUAGCCUCCCAUCUCAUUGCUACGCAUGUUUGUGACCUUCCGUAGUCAUUUCUGGUGCCACAUGGAACCCUGUAUUUUGCACACUGCAAGCAAUGUUUAGCUUUAUUUAUGGUAAUUGAUGCUGUAAAUGAAAAUAAAUAUGGUUCUUUAUAAAGCUCA